RNAcentral lists this ribosomal RNA (462 nucleotides) under uncultured bacterium. RNAcentral describes it as "partial 16S ribosomal RNA". It matches the Rfam family "Bacterial small subunit ribosomal RNA", at positions 338 to 795 of the family's 1533-position model. The record is from RNAcentral.
CCUACGGGAGGCAGCAGUGAGGAAUAUUGGUCAAUGGGCGCGAGCCUGAACCAGCCAAGUCGCGUGCAGGAUGACGGCCCUCCGGGUUGUAAACUGCUUUUAGUUGGGAAUAAAAGGGGGCUCGUGAGCCCCGUAUUGUAUGUACCAUCAGAAAAAGGAUCGGCUAACUCCGUGCCAGCAGCCGCGGUAAUACGGAGGAUCCGAGCGUUAUCCGGAUUUAUUGGGUUUAAAGGGAGCGUAGGUGGAUUGUUAAGUCAGUUGUGAAAGUUUGCGGCUCAACCGUAAAAUUGCAGUUGAAACUGGCAGUCUUGAGUACAGUAGAGGUGGGCGGAAUUCGUGGUGUAGCGGUGAAAUGCUUAGAUAUCACGAAGAACUCCGAUUGCGAAGGCAGCUCACUGGACUGCAACUGACACUGAGGCUCGAAAGUGUGGGUAUCAAACAGGAUUAGAUACCCCUGUAGUC